Molecule: small RNA, 526 nt
Filed under: Histoplasma capsulatum var. duboisii H88
Lineage: Eukaryota; Fungi; Ascomycota; Eurotiomycetes; Onygenales; Ajellomycetaceae
Description: Histoplasma capsulatum H88 hypothetical RNA
Source: RNAcentral
AUGCCACGUUCGGAAAGGAAAGAAAAUAGGCACUCCACACUGGCAACACAGGGGAUUAGGAGGCGGUGUUAUCUUUGAACGACCACGAGUUAAACUCCAUUCUUGGAAGUGCUGUCUGUUUGCCAUGUCGCGUUGGUCUUCAAGAACCUUGAUUUUGUCGAUAUUGCCGUUAUGUGGCUGGUAUUAUUUCUGCCCUGUGUGAAGUUCAAUGAACAUUCCUGGUAUGAAGACCACCAGUUAGGCAUGAAAUUGUGAACUUAAAGUCCUAUGAAUAGGGGAUUUGUCCUUUUAGUCUAGUGGUAAAAGUCCAAUUCUAUACUACCACAUUUGGACAGGUAUCGGCACUCCAGAAAGCAAAGAUCUAAACAUACCAAGGAACAACACAGUUAUUAGCUCUACCUCGUGGUUUGAUAUGAAUGCUGGAUCCUUUGCACAAGUUAGUGAUUAGCCGUGUACUAUCCUCAAAGAUAAAGAAAGUACAUAGUCUCAAUAGGAUUGAAAUCCUGAAUGUAAGCCUAUGCCGCAG